UGGGGAAUAUUGGACAAUGGGCGAAAGCCUGAUCCAGCAAUGCCGCGUGAGUGAUGAAGGCCUUAGGGUUGUAAAGCUCUUUUACCCGGGAUGAUAAUGACAGUACCGGGAGAAUAAGCCCCGGCUAACUCCGUGCCAGCAGCCGCGGUAAUACGGAGGGGGCUAGCGUUGUUCGGAAUUACUGGGCGUAAAGCGCGCGUAGGCGGCUUUGUAAGUUAGAGGUGAAAGCCCGGAGCUCAACUCCGGAAUUGCCUUUGAUACUGGGUAUCUCGAGUCCGGAAGAGGUGAGUGGAAUUCCGAGUGUAGAGGUGAAAUUCGUAGAUAUUCGGAGGAACACCAGUGGCGAAGGCGGCUCACUGGUCCGGUACUGACGCUGAGGUGCGAAAGCGUGGGGAGCAAAC
RNAcentral lists this ribosomal RNA (401 nucleotides) under uncultured bacterium. Its description in RNAcentral is "bacterial SSU rRNA". It matches the Rfam family "Bacterial small subunit ribosomal RNA", at positions 355 to 773 of the family's 1533-position model. The record is from RNAcentral.